RNAcentral lists this transfer RNA (73 nucleotides) under Hofstenia miamia. RNAcentral's name for it is "tRNA-Val for anticodon AAC". It matches the Rfam family "tRNA". Rfam says of the family: Transfer RNA (tRNA) molecules are approximately 80 nucleotides in length. Lineage: Eukaryota; Metazoa; Xenacoelomorpha; Acoela; Hofsteniidae. The record is from RNAcentral.
GGCACCAUGGUGUAGUGGUUUUCACAUCUGCCUAACACGCAGAAGUUAUCCAAUUCGAGCCUGGGUGGUGUCC